Molecule: long non-coding RNA, 1446 nt
Filed under: Mus caroli (Ryukyu mouse)
Lineage: Eukaryota; Metazoa; Chordata; Mammalia; Rodentia; Muridae
Description: predicted gene, 31108 (MGP_CAROLIEiJ_G0006452.1)
Source: RNAcentral
GUGGGCAGCACCAUCAGAUUCUCCUCCUGCUCACCAAGAACUUGUGGUACUUUUCUGCCAAGAUCUCUGGCCUGGAGGGAAGGAUCCUAUCCUUCUCAGUCUCUGGGGCGUCGAGCUCUCUAACAUCCCGUGGGGGAGGCGCACUCAUGCGGGCAGAGAAGGAAAAGCAGAAAGUACAUACAGAAAGUACAUACGGACUGGCUAGCGUCCCACUGAAGCCACUGAUGUGGAUGAAGAUACAGGCUGAAUGUGCCGGGAGACCAACCCUUCUGGAUAAGAUUACAGAGUUUACCAGAACUAAUAAUCAGCUUCAUUGUCCACCAAACUGCUCUCACAAACACAGGUAUUGUAACUGUGUUACAGUGUUAAAAAGCAUCAAUACUUCUCUUUAAAGCCCAUUCUGUCCUCAGCAGGCUUGGAUGCAUUCAUUGUGGAGGAGUUCACUGGAGAACAGUUACAAGUCAACCUUUAGUUCCCAGCGGAGUCAUGCUAAGCUGGACCGUGGAACAUGACCAGAGGCUGGCCAUUCUACACGGUCAUUUAACUUCUUCCAGUAACUCAUUAACUAUUUGUAUUCCUGCAGUCACGAUCGCGUGCCUGUGCGUAGACUCUCCCAAAUGUGUUUGAAGGGUUUUUCUGUGUAACCCUGGCUGUCCUGGAACCUGUUCUGUUGACCAGGCUGGCCUCAGAAUUUGCAGAGAUCCACCCGCCUUUGCUUCCUAAGUGUUGGGCAUCAACUGUGUAUGCCACCGCUACCUGGUGACAAAAUUCUUUUUUAAAGACAUUUCAAGGCCUAUGGAUAAACAUCAGUUGACACAGGGAUUUCUUUACUGAUAGACCCAGGCUACCUCUGUAAUGUUUCAAGACCUCCAAAUCAAGUUGGCCUUUCUCUUUCUACUUCCCCUAAAGUGCAUGGUGUGCCAUGUCAGAGAGACGAGAGGAGGCUAUGGCUGGAGUACAUUGGAUGCUCCUGGGUGUGACUAUUACUGAUCAGCACCUUGGAGACCCCUUGCCACAGAAAAGAGUGAUGCCUUACCUCAGGGGGACACAGGUGACAAAUGGUUUUCAGUAGUAACCAUGAGGAAGAAUCAGUUAUCGUAAUGGCCAAGAAGAAACACCGUGGAAAAUGGUCUUGUAUUGAACCUCUAUACAAUCAUGCUAGCAGGAUAUAAAAGAAAAUAAAAGGAUUUCUGUGACUCCGGCCACUGCCGUGUGACUAUGAAAGCCACCGUGCUGCUCUUCUCUUGGGCUGAGUAGGCCCUGGGCAGGGUGGCGAGAGUGCUGUGAAAUGGAAGGAAGGAAGAAGAGGGAGAGAGAAAAUGCAAGCCAUCUCGGGACAGGGUAGACAGAGCACCUACCCAGCCUGUCAGGGUUUGGAUUUAAUCCCCUUCUCUGCGGAAAAACAAAACAAAACAACCAACACAUUAAAAAUAAUUAUUAUGGUGU